UGUACAUGUGUAUGUGUGUGUACAUGCACAUAUGUGUGUGUAUAUAUAUUUAUAUUCAUUCACCUUACAAGA
RNAcentral lists this microRNA precursor (72 nucleotides) under Chlorocebus sabaeus (green monkey). RNAcentral describes it as "miRNA (ENSCSAG00000021239.1)". Lineage: Eukaryota; Metazoa; Chordata; Mammalia; Primates; Cercopithecidae. The record is from RNAcentral.